CCUCUGGGCUGAGUCUCGCACCUCUGGGCUGAAUGCCCAGGCCAGCUCCCCUCCAAGCCACCCUGGGACUGCUGCUGGCCGAGUCCUGAGGGACAGUCUUUAUCUGGCCUUUUCUGAGGUGAGAAGAAAAUUUCUCACUCGGCUUCCUGUUGCCCCUGGGACCUGGCAUGUCCCAAACAAAGCCAACUUCCCCUUCAGAGCUGUUUCCUGUCCUCUUCCUCCCAGUGGUGGGGGGGGCGGGGCCUCAGCCCACUCAGUGUCUCCCACCUGGCUCUGCUCCUCCUCGCGUUCCUUACCGCCGCCCUCCCUCCCAUUUCCUUGGUGAUCAAGUCCUGUGUCCCUGCCUCCCAAGUGCCUGAUCAGAAUAAAUGCUCCUCUUUCUGUCCCCACUGCUACUGGCUGACUUCAGGCCUCAUGACCUAGGGCCGGUGCUGUCACCUGAGUCUCCCCACCGGCCGGGACGCCUCCUGUCGCUCCUCCUCCAGUGGGUGCCCCACAGGCCAUCGGUUCCGUGUCACACCGCACAUCUGUCCUCGUCAACCCCGGACUGAAAACCCUGCCGAGCCCUCUCCUGUUUAAGCCCCAACACCUCCUUGGUGCCCUGGGAGGGCCUUCGAGUGGCCCCGGCUCUCCGUCCUUGUCGCCCAACACCCUGGGUGCCUGUGCUGUCCCUGCACGCUGCGGGCACGCACUCUGCGGGUCUCUACACUUUGGCACGUGCGGUCCCCGCUCCUGGACCCCUGGUUCCUCUUGUGCUGGCAAGCUCCUGUCCUCCUUCCAGGCACAACUGUAACGUCCCCUUCUCCACCCGCCGCGAGCGUCUGGGGUUCUGGCAGCGCCCUGUACCUUCCUGCUGCCUUCCUUCGCUGGGCUCUUCUUCCCGGGCUGGAGCUGCUCUCCAGGAGUCCUGGGAAGACAAGGACAGGGUCUUACUCGUUCCUGUAAGCCGGGCGCCUGACACAGCUGCUGCCGAGGGAACGUUGGCUCAACGGAGCACUGCUUUCUCUUCCAGCGAGCUGGCCUCCCCUCUCCUUGCAGAAGCCCGAGGGAACAGGAGUGCCGGCCCCGAGGAACAACGUCCUGGCAGGAAGGAACGGGCCUGCUCUCCUUUCCCUCUGCUCAUCUGGGUGUCAGCCUUGGCCUCCAGCCUGGCCGCUCCCGCCUUCCGCGGCUCGGGGCUCCUGCUCCCUCCCAGCCCCUGUGACUGCACCCCACAUCACAGGAAUGCCUCCUCCUGCCCCUUGGGGGCUGGUUUCCUCCUCUCUUUGAAGGCCAGCUUUGGACUCCGCAUUCGCCUACACCCUCUCCGACCUGUGGAAGUGCCCCAAACGUCAGGGCGUGUCCCGCCGGCCCUCCCGCUGGAGGCUGCCGUCCACUCCCAGGCCCGCCCCCUGGGGCUAGUGGUCCCCGAGGAGACGGUGCCCUGGCGUCCAGCGCUCUGCCCGUGAGAAAGGGCUCCUUCUUGACUGGUGACUGGCGCUGCAGGACCUCGGGAGGAAGCUGCACACAGGGGACCCGCAGACGUGAGCAGCCACUUUGCCGCCCCUGCUCGGGGUGGUGCCUGCGCAGGGAGCGUGGCACAGCACAGGGGGACUUCUGUGCGCUUCUGGCGAUGCCCCCACUUGCCUUCGCGCUACAGACCGUUAUGUCACCUUUGGCUGGGGGCGGGAGAUGCUCGGCUCCACGUCUGCGGCACUCCUGAGCCCUCGGGUCUAUGUCCUCUUUAGCGUCCUCAGUCUCUGGGCGGAUCAGCAACGACCCGGGGCCCAGGCCCCCUCCGCAGCUGGAGGGGGCCUUCCCGACAUCAGGCCAUGGCCCAGUGAAUGGGUCCAGCUUACUUGUUUGAGAGAUUCAGGAGUGGGGCCUGGGUGCGGGGGUGGGGGUCUGGAGCGAGUGUUGCCAUCCCGUAACCGGGGUUACAGGGCUCGGAUGACAGGACUGAUGGGCUCUGCGUGUAGGGCCCGUUCAGCCGCCUCUUGACUAUCUGUGUGCUCUCUGUGGCGACUUUACAGAGUGCAGAGAGGAUGUGAAGAGUCAGGAGCAAGGGACGCCCAUAAGGCAUCACCUGGAGGCAAGAAGGUUCACGAGUUCACGAGUGGGGCGUGUCUCCCCUGCUCUUUUUCUACACGUUUCUCCCUUACUCGCUGGAGUGCGUGCAGGGUUACCAUUGGGCCUUACAUCUUCUCACUCACGUUAAGCGUUACCCCAGGUUCUGAAGGAUUCCUCGGCAGGCAUCUCACUAAGCCCUGCACCUGGUUCUGGAGGAUAGUGGAUCGCAGCCUCUCCCUGCUCAAGACCAACUGACAGAUCCUCGGGAACGGCCCUGCAUACCUUGGACCAGUGACAGCCUCUGCUCAGAAACCCCAGCCCAGGGGUCCUCCUGAAGCAGCCGCAGAGACAGAGUUUAUUGCGUCUCCCACAUCAGGGUCAAGCUGGGCCCGGUGUCCAACAGCCUCCGGCUGUCUGGUUGUCCCGCUUCCCGGUGUUGGGUCUCGCCCAGCGCGGAGCCCGAGGUCCCUUUGGGAGGGGCUGGGGGGGUCAUACGAGUGCCUGCUUGCCGUGGUGCUACAGCGUCCUUCCCCCUGGGGACCCGCCACGUCCCUGGUCCGUGGUUCCACGUCUGAGAACUGGCUCAGGGGCAGGACCUGGGCGAGGGAUCAUGACUUGUUCACUGGGGCGGCUGCCCUCGGCCUCCUGCCGCCCGUCCUUGCUCUUUUGAGUGUCCGUUUUAGACUGUAUCUUGGUCGGUUGCCCAUCCAUCGAGCCCCCGGGAAGCCGUGUUGUACUGACCACCUGCCCCGCUCGGUGGGUCGGGCCUCCUGGUCAGUGGUGGCCAUCGUCAUAGCCCCUGGUUUCUGGCCGCUCAGUGGCGCCCCACGACCUCUGCUGCAGUCCCUGGGCGGCGGGGGAGGGCAGGGGGUCAUCCCUUUCCUCCCUCACCAGGCCUGGCGCGCCCGGCCUGUGUUGUGAGGUGACUUCGCUCUGCUUGGGGGCCUGGCAGUGGGCUGACCACCUCGCCCCAUUUUAACUGCAUGCUGCUGCUUGUAGCGCUUCACGUCCCACCGCAAAUUGGGGCGGCUGGCUACCCUGUCUCCUGGGACGGAGGGCACCUGUGGGGAAGGACUUGGGUCAUGUUUGCUCCCUCGGGGGUGAGGCGGGGACACCAGCUCUUUAGGGGGAGGGGUGGGCCACUGCCACAGGCUCAGAAGUUCAGCGACAUCUGGGGAGUCCCGGUCUUCUGGGGCUUCCUCCCAGUCUCCCUGGUCCUCGUGUCAAGGGUGCAGGUUUUCCCAAGUGGGCUUCCGAUGCUGGCGGGACAGACGUGCCUCGGUUGAACAUCCAGCGUCUUUGAGCUUCAGCCACUUCUCUCGAAUCCUGGGUUGGACGAUUGUCCGCUGCCUGAGAUGGGGGCUCCUUUGUAAGGCCGCUUCCUUCUCCCGGCUUGUGAUGAGCUUUCCAAUUCUUGUUCCUGACUUCAGAAAGAAGAUUAGAGAGAUGACGAGUUGCCCAGGCUGAGCGGAGUGGCUGCUGCUGAUGACCCAGAGAAAGAAGACGUGGUGCGGGUUUGCCCAGAGCAGCUCACCGAUGGCCUGAACUGUGGCAGCCUCCAGUGCCAGGAGGAAGUAGCCGUGUGGGCCCCCUGCUUACUGCCUCUGGACCUACUGCACUUGAAGGAGGAGGGCGGGCGGUGAAGACAAGACGAUGUGGGAGGGUGACCUUGGUGUGUUGCAUCGCCCAACUAGAAUGUUCCCAGAUGAUACUUUGAGGAGGCUUUGGGAAAGGGGCCAGCUUUGUGGCUGAAAUGACACUAGGGUUUGACGCUAGCAAUGUGCUGCUUGCUCAUUGUGCCAUCUGCUGGCCAGCUCUUCCAACUUCACCUUUUUUUUUUUAAUUUUUUUUUUUAAUUUUUUUAUUUUAUUUUAUUUUAUUUUUAUUUAUGGCUGUGUUGGGUCUUCGUUUCUGUGCGAGGGCUUUCUCUAGUUGCGGCAAGUGGGGGCCACUCUUCAUCGCGGUGUGUGGGCCUCUCACUAUCGCGGCCCCUCCCAUUGCAGAGCACAGGCUCCAGACACGCAGGCUCAGCAAUUGUGGCUCAUGGGCUUAGUCGCUCCGCGGCAUGUGGGAUCUUCCCAGACCAGGGCUCGAACCCGGGUCCCCUGCAUUGGCAGGCAGAUUCUCAACCACUGCGCCACCAGGGAAGCCCUCACCUUUUUUUUGAAGUAUAGUUGAUUUACAAUGUGUUAGUUUCUGGUGUACAGCAACUAUUCUUUUUCAGAGUCUCUUCUAUUGUAGUUUAUUACAAGAUAAUGAAUAUAGUCCCCUAUACUAUACAGUAGGGCUUUGCUUAUAUAGUUUAUACAUAGUAGUGUGUAUCUGUUAAUCCCAAGCUCCUAAUUUAUCCCUCCCCCUGCUUUUCCCUUUUGGUAACUGUAAGUUUGUUCUCUAUGUCUGUGAGUCUGUUUCUGUUUUGUAAAUAAUUUCAUUUGUAUCAUCUUUUAAGUGAUAUCUUAGAAUAUUUGUCUUUCUCUGACUUACUUCACUUAGUAUGAUAAUCUCUAGGUCCAUCCAUGUUGCUGCAAAUGGUAUUAUUUCAUUAUUUUCUCAUGGCUGAGUAGUAGUCCAUUGUGUAUAUAUACCACAUCUUCUUUAUCCAUUCAUCUGUCGAUGGACAUUUAGGUUGCUUCCAUAUCUUGGCUUUUGUGAAUAGUGCUGCAAUGAACAUUGGGGUGCAUGUAUCUUUUCAAAAUAGAGUUUUUGUCUUUUCCAGAUGUAUACUCAAGAGUGGGAUUGCUGGAUCAUAUGGUAGUUCUACUUUUAGUUUUUUAAGAAACCCUCCAUACUGUUCCUGUUCUCCAUAGUGGCUGCAGCAAUUUACAUUCCCACUAACAGUGUAGGAGGGUUCCCUUUUCUCCACACCCUCUCCAGUGUUUAUUGUUUGCAGAUUUUUUCAUGAUGGCCAUUCUGACCUUUGUGAGGUGAUACCUCAUUGUAGUUUUGAUUUGUAUUUCUCUAAUAAUUAGCGACAUUGAGCAUCUUUUCAUGUGCCCAUUGGCCAUCUGUAUUUCUUUGGAGAAAUGUCUAUUCAGGUCUUCUGGCCAUUUUUUGAUUGGGUUGUUUGUUUUUUUUGCAACUUCAGUUUUAAUUAAAGAUGGUCGGUAAUAAGAGCUUCCAUGGCAGAAAGCUCUAUGCAGUGCUUGGGAAGUGUGAAUGUAAAAACGAGGUGCUGAAACUAAUAUGUCAGUACAUUGUAAAGUAUUUCUUCUCCUUUUCCUCCUCUGACCAUUUCUGCCUUCUUGAUCUUUCUACCUUUCCCAAGGCAUAGAGAUGUCAGAUACAUAACAAUGUAUAUUAAAACAGAUUCUUAAUGCUUGUUACCAUGAAGAUAUAGCAACUGAGUUUACAUUUUCCGUGUGUAGGGUGUAUGCCGGGAGCCCAGGCACUGGCAAGGGAGCCCAUUGUUUGUAUCCCAUGGGUCCGUGAGGAUGGAUUGCCCCGUUUUUUGAGUGGAUGUGUGUCCAUGUAGCUCAUAGGCUGGGCCAGUGCAUGGGGCACACAGAGGGGCUGCCAGUGUGUGCUCACGAUGUGAAUGAUGCGAUCCAGAGCCUGGGCUUUGGGGCCUGGGGACCUGGGUUUGGAUGUCAGCUCUUCUUUUCCUGUGUAGCCUUGGCACUUACUAUCUCUGUGUGUCUCUCUCCUCUCCUGAAAACCAGGUGGCACAAAAUGCCACUAAUGUCACAGGGCUUUUCCAGGGCACAGCCUUGGACGUCAUGUCCUCUUCCACUGGGGCUCGGGGUCUGUCUUUGCUUCUACUUUUGCAGGUUAGAGGUUAUUCCGGCAACAAUGACUAUGAAGAUUUUUCUUGAUUCCCAGGCUUGGUAAAUUUCAGAGUUCUCUAACAGUGUUCAAGGGACUAUGAUGUGUCUUGGUAAAAUUCCUUUAUGCUCUUUGGAAGAUCUCAGCUGUGCCAUGUAGAAAAUGAGAUGAUUGGUCUAGAAUAGUGAUUCUCCAACCUUUGUGCCCAUGGGAUAUCUUAGUCUGGCUGGGGGUUCAACCUCCCAAAGAGAUAAGAGGCAGGCUGCUCAGCUGAAGUAAGGCCUGCUCCCCAUACCCCUUCUUCUUCCCAAUCUCUUCCUGGCCCACUCCUCUUAGAGGCCCAUGAAGCAUUCCACAGAACCGAGUUUGAAACCCAGUGAUCUAGAUCUCAAACUUCAGUGUGCUUUCAAAUCCCUCGGUGAUCUUGCCAAAUGUGGCUUCUGAUUCAGAAGUUCUGGCGUGGACCUGAGAUUCUGCACUUCUCAGCAGAUGCCAGUUUAUGCCUAAGUGGUUGGUCCAUGGAUAGCAUUUUGUAAAGCAAGGCUCUGAUCACAGAAUGCCUUUGAUCUUUCACAUCCUUUGAUUCUGAGUUCUUUACUUACUGAUACUCUGAUUAUAUUACAAAUUGAAAAUUUGUGUAGAAUGAGUGGUUUCUGUUGAGGGCAGAAUUCUCAAUUAUACAGAUGUGGAAACAGACCUAGGAUGGAGGAGAAGGAUGAAGGAGACAGAAUGUAUUUGUUUCCCAACUUUGAGUGACGGAAGCAUCUGUAAAAUAUUUUGUAAAGAGCACAAUUUGGGUUAAGAAGCUGUUGCACUUUGUUAAGAAGAGUUGCACUUUGGUUUGGUUGCAGUCUGGAUCAUAAGGAAGUCUCAUUUUGACACUUGUCUAAGGGAACUUCUGUCAGAAACAAGUGACCUGCUUUCAGACCCUGGCCGAGGCCUGUCUCCACGCUCUAGGUCUAAGUGAAGGUUUAGAAUUGUGGACAGCUGUCGGUGUGUCUGGCAUCCAUGUGCUUUCUUGAUAAUCUUAAUGAUGUGGCACCUAGAAAGAAGCUUUCAUGUAAAUGGCCUCCAUCCUUUCUAUCCAGUGCUGAGUUGAGUGCCCCAGGUUCAGUGUUGGUAGACUGCUCUGUCUUCUGCACUCCUUGCUGGGGCUCCUCCUGUGUGUGUCCAGUAGACCAGCUGCUUUACCAGACUAUAAAGCUUUGCUUGUCAGUCUUUGUUUCAAUUCAGUAAGGUCAUGGCUAAGGUGGGGAACCCACUUUAGCAAGGAGACAAAAGCUCAACUGCUAGAGUAGCCAGUGUGUUUAAAUGUCACAUGUCCUAUGUGGAAUAUGGCAGAAGACCAGAAUGUUCUUUGUGGCUUUGCCUGAGCCCUUCGUUAAGAAGGAUGAAAGCUUUCCCAUGGGGGCAGAGGUGGCAUGUGCACCAUCUGAGGAAGCGAGGGGAGACUGAAUCCCAGGGAGGCUGGAUCCGAACACAGAGGUGUUCUUUUUGUGCUCAGUUGGUGAGGCGAACAGUCUAGUAGAUGUGUGUUCCAAGGGCUUGUCAAUGGGCUUCUUUAGCAUCAGGCGGGUGGGAAACAAAGAGGGGGUGUGCCCAACUUCCCCUCCUCCAGAAGCUGACCGUCUGGUGACUGGUCCAUCAAUAGCUCUGUCAGCGGCCAUCGGUCACCCUCAUUCCUUCCUUCCUUCCUUCCUUCCUUGAUCCCCUCACUCUCUGGUGUGUGAGCACCUCCUUGGCGCCAGGCAUUGGGUCUACAAAGAUGGAGAAGACAGGGAACUUGCUGACAAGCCACAGACAGGUGGAAAGCACAAGGGGCCUUAAGAAAGGUGUAGCUCAUAGGUUCUGGAGUCUCUGAGGAGGGAGGCAUAACUUGUGGCCAGGCAUGGUGAGGCUGGGGCUGUGGACUCUUCCCCAGAACAUUCAGUUCACCACGGUUACCUCUGGAGGGUCUGUGCCUGAGCCUUCCUCAGACACCUUUUACAAAGCACAAGAAUCUCUUUUCCCCGUCACCCCUCUCCCACUCGGUUUCCCACCCUUACCCCCGUUACAAAAGUAGCAGUGAGGACUAGAGGAGCCGCAGAUAGAAUCCUUAAGGAGGAAAAGUUUCUGGAAGAACAUCCUGUUCUGGUGUUUCCUGAGCUCUCUUAAAGCUGGGGCCUUUGCUCACAUGACAGAAACAGAUUUCUAAUCCCUCUCCGGCCCCCUGUCACCCCAGCCUCCCCUGUAGCAUAACCAGGCUUCCUAAAACACAGCUUUGCCCAGGGCAACCCCUGGCUCCCAAAGCUUGGCUUUCAAGUGCCUGCACCUCUCUGGCCUCAGCUUGCCCGUCUGUCAAAUGAGGACAAUAAAAAUAGUCCUCAACUCGUGGGGUGACGAUGAGCCCUCAGUGGGCCCGGGCUCAGCCAUCGCUCUGUACACUUCACGAGGCUGUGACCCUAAUGUGGCCUUCCUCACAGCGGCCCUCUCCUGCAUCCUUGGUAGUGGCCGCGCUGUCCACUCCCGCAGCCUGACUCUCCCGGUCCCCAGCCCUCCACGCUGCUCACUCACGGCAGAUGCCCUCCCUCCUCACUUUCUGCCUCCGCCUGAAGCCUCUGAGGCUGGCUUCAGGACCGUUCCUUCUCUACAACCUUCCAGAACCCUGUCUAUUGUACUCUUUUUGCGCAAGGUUACCUUGGGCGGUUUCUGUUUUAUGUGUGUGUGUGUGCCCUGUUACCCCAGCUAGACUGCAAUCCCUCUGAGGAUAAGGAUCCCACCCAGGUCACCUUGGUGCUGUCCCCAGAGCCUGCCUCUGCCCGAGGAGACACUGACUAGAUGCUGACAGAUGGUGGCAAUGAACCGUUCUGUUUAUCGCCACGCGGCGCUCAUAGGCUUGCUACCACGACACGCUGUUGUGCUGCUCUGGACUCAGCAGGUGAUGAGAUCGGCCCUGCCCCAGGGGUCAGCAUGUGCGAGGUGGGUCAGCAAGGCGGGUAUGUCAGUAAUCUCAUUGCAGGCAGGACCAGACCCUCUCCACAGAACCAUCUGAAGUGCUGUGAGGCCUCAGGAGAGUCCGGGAUGAAUCUCCCUGGCAGAUGAGGAAGGCUCCAGAGGGAGGCGGGCUAUGAGCUGUGCACCGAGGAGUGGGCAGGGUUUGGAAGGUAGUGAUAUAGGAGUCCACUCCCGAGAGGCGAGCUUUCGGUUGGGAGGACAGGAGAUCAGAGGCGGUGAGGAAGAAGAGCCCAGGCAGAGGAGUUGGGGCCAAGGUGCCACCCACAUCUCAUCUCCUUCAGUCCUGGAAUCAGCCUGGCAAGACCGGUGCUGUUAGACCCACCGGGCAGAUGAGGAAACCGAGAGCGCAGACGCCGAGGGACUCGGCUGAGCUCUCCCAGUUGGCCCGGGGAGAGUUGGGAUUCAAACACAGGUGCAGCCAACCCAGGCUCUGUGUGGCCACCAAGCAGGGUGGGGACACAGGAUGGACACUCCGAGCCUGGUGCCCAGGCUGUUGGCUGCUGCCCUGAGUUAUGCUCCUGGAGUGCAGGGCCGUCCCUGGGCCCUGCGUGUGUUCUUGGCCAAGUCCCUUUGCUACACAUCUCCAAGGCAAGGGGCUCAGCCUCACUGCUUUGACCACUUCACCUCCUUCCAGCUCCCAUGCAGUGUGGCUUAGGAACUUGGAAUCGUGUUGUUCGUGAGCAGGUCCACAGCUUCCUUCAGGUUGUGAGGCGGGCGGGGAGCUGUUGCGCGUGAAUCAGGGGUAUGCAUUUCACAGGGUAUACUUCCUGAUGGCACCCAAAGAGUCAGCUCCGCUCACUCACCUGUGGCUGGUGCUCUCUUGAAUGUAAGGGGAGGCCGAAUCAGAGGGGAGGUUAAGGGCCUGCUGUGUGCCACAGCUGUCCAAAAGCACCAUCCUUAAAUUUUAAUCUCUGGUACUGCAGUUGAGUACUGCCAAAUCCAGCGGCUAUAUUUGUCCUCACACUUGAGGGUCCCAUUGAUGGAUUCUCCAGAAUGCCCAGGGUACCAGAGUUUUCAUCAAGUCUGUCACUUGUUCCUGUGUGACUUCGAAAAAGGUAUACUUUACUUUGCUGCCAAUCCCUCCCAUAUACAUCUUCCUGCCAGGAUAGAGUAGGGCUUGGACCAGGGUCGGUGGGGACAUAAGGGAGUGAAAGUGUCAUCUGCCAUCACAGCAAAUCUGCCCUUGCUUUCCUCCCUCUCUUUCAGACAUUUCGAUGCUUCUCCCUCCUUCCUUCUCCCUUCUUAGCAAAACUACUUCUCAGAAUACAUCCUAUUUGGAAAAUGACUGUUAUUCAUAUCAAAUUAAUCCCAAAGAAGUACUGUCAAUUUCCCGCUAAAUAGCACCAAGAUCGCAGUUUUAAAUUGCUUAUCCGUUCAGGAGAGGGAAGAGUCAGUGAGAGGCGGCGUGUUCUGAGCCACCCAACUGUCUGCAGAGAGGUGGGCGGGCACAGCUCCUGUGCUGCUGUCUGCACUGGGGUAAUGGCGAAGCUAACGGUCCUGCAAAGCUCUGCGCUUCACAGCAGGCUUGCCUGCCAGUCCUUGUGUUCCAGUUCAGGAAAAUGCCUCUCCAGAUCCUUUUCCUCAUCCUAGUAUCACGCUGGAUUCUCCCUGGGCUCCUGGGAAGGCGUUAUCAUUCUCUUCGUUUUAGAGAUGAGGCAGCUGAAAAUCAGAGAGGGAAAGUGAUUUACCUCGGCUGGCACAGUAAGCGACCGAGGCAGGACUCAACCAGUCCUUCUGACAACUACACCACUGACCUGCUCCCUGUCCCCGCAGAGGGCGGGGGGUGGAACGUGGGACCUAGAAGGCCCUUUCAAGCUCAGGAAACACUGGAUGCUGUGACUGUACCAUCUGGGAAUUCAGUCUUGACCUAUUCACAAGGUUGUCUUUCUCAGCCGUUUUGUUGGUUUCCGCGUUGCUCAAUUCGAUUGUGUGCUGGUCCAGCACAGUUCUCUGCUGGUGGUUCAAGAAGCCCACCUCCCCUGAACUGCUUCCUCGUCCUGCCCACUCAGUGUCUACCAAACCUCAUGCUAGAUUUCUUGCCUCAGCCGUGGAGGAAAGACAGCUCUGUAGUUUGGGUCCUUGUGUUGUGUCCCAGUUCAGGCUGUCUUUCCAUCCCUUAGGUCACAUGCUAAUCACUCGUUCCCAGGUGCUUUUGCACGCUGGUUAUCUGGAAUUCAUCCUGAUUGCCUUAUCUUUGCUUCUGGUUAGGUACCCUCCUCCCUUCUGCCGUGUUAUCUGGGUCCCAAGCCUUUUCUCAGUGUUUGGUUCCCCUUCUGUAACUCUCUGGACCAGAGAUGCACAGCGAAGCUAAUGAAGUUCAAGAUCAAGCUUCAGAGUCACUGGCAUUGACAGGCCUGGAAGGGGCCCUAGCAUUGUGGUAUGCGCUAGUCGUAUGGUUUGUAAAUCUACAAAAGGUAUUUCAGCCACAGUUGGUUCAGGGCAUCUCUGUUUCCAUUCUGCUGUCUCCAUCACUCCUGCUCUUAUGUUGGGUGACAAUACAGUGGCCAUGGGCAUAUUGGGAAUCUGGCUAAGGGGACAUUAAAUUGGGAUACACUUAGUUUGGAUUUGGAGAGACAUAUUUAAGGGGCUCCCAACCAAUUCUGUACAUGUUCCAAGCUAUUGCUAGCCGUCUUGUAUUGAAAUUGCUUCCAGGAAUACUCCUGCUUACCGUGCCAAUGCGCACGGUACCAGGACAAGAGGUGUGAGGCUGGAGGGAACGCUGUGAUGUCACUGUGCUUUACAGCACUAGGUACCAGAAGUAUGUUGACAGUGGAGGAGCAUCAAGGUUCACAAUAUAUGGAGCUAGAAGCUAGUCUGUGGGAAAGUCUUCCAGUCAUGAAUCAGAUAUGUAAAGUCAACGAACACAAGUUCUGUCCUGUCAGGAAUAUACUCAGUGUGCAGUGUAUGCAAUUAUAAACACAAGAUAUGUUUAUACUCCUGUUUGGAUGGGGGUUGUGUGAAAUCGCAUUCUUCAGAAUUCCUGAGAUUGUGAGCACAGACGCGAAACAAGACUCCAGACAUUGAGUGGUGUGCAGAAGUUAAUGUAGCAGGCCUGGGACUGCUGUCCUCAGAAAGACCUGCUUGUAAGGGUGGCCUUCUUCUGGCAUCUGGCAUCAUAGCUCUCAGAGUGUCCCCAGUUAAUGGAAAACUGAUGAGAAUGGCUCACUGUGCUUAGACUGUUUAUACAUACAGUGUGCUUUAGGCUGGGCCCCUGCUUUCCUUCUGGCAGUCUGGAAUUCUCCCAGAAGGUGCACGCCAGGCAGACGCUGCCUAUGAGAACAGCCUCGAAGAAAAGCCGUGGGCACUGAAUCUGGGCUGCCCUGGGCAGCAACGUCACACACAUGUCGCCGCAUUUUCUCUGCUGAGGGAAGAGUGUCCUCUGUGUGGCUGCACAUGGGAAGGAGAGAGCAUAAGGAAGUCCGCACGUGGAUUCUUCCAGGCUCUGCCUGUGUCUUUCCCCCUUGUGAUCCACCUUUGUGUCCUUGCUACAUUGCUGUACUAAAUCUUAGCUGUGAGGACAACUAUAUGCUGAGUCCUGUGAGUCUCCGACUAUAACAGAAAUGUGGGAAUAAUAUAUUACAGAGGUUUAUCAGGCAGUUAAUUAAUAAAAAUAUGCUUUAGUUUAUUGUCAUUUUUCCUGAAUUUUGAGAUAUGUCUAGCAUUCGUCGACUUUUUCAAAUGUGUACUCUAUUGUAUUUCUUUUCUCAUUUUAAAUAUUUACUUUUGUUCCUGAUUUUGUAUUGGUAAUUUUGUAUUCUUAUCCUUAACGAGGGCAUCAAGUGUUAUGAAGCUUCAGGUCCCACAAAACCUGGAUCUACCUCUGUCAUGGAUCCAAGACUUGCUAUCUCUUGUUGAUUUUGUAUUGUCACCUCCUAUUUCACGGGUGGGGAAAUUAAAACCCAAAGGGGGAAGUCAAACUUACUUGGCAAAACUGGGAUAGGAUCUAGAUCUUUCAACUCCCAAUUUAAUGCUUUUUUCCCUCCAUUCCUUAAAGGGUUUUGAUGAUUUGUCUGUAAACAAUGGCCAUGAUGCACUGGACAUACACUGGAUGGCACUUAGGAGACUGAAGCUCUAGUCCCUUCUCUUUCAGUAGAUGGAUAAUCUUGAAUGACCCCUUUCUCUUCUGGAGCACAUUUUCUCCUUUUGUGAAAUAAAGAGGCUGGACUAGGUGCUCUUUAGAGGCCUUUCUCUCUCUGAUGUUCCCAAAGAUCAUCAUUCUAGAAAUGCUGAAUCACAGAUCAUAGUUGAAACCACUCAU
Molecule: long non-coding RNA, 13063 nt
Organism: Balaenoptera acutorostrata (minke whale)
Lineage: Eukaryota; Metazoa; Chordata; Mammalia; Artiodactyla; Balaenopteridae
Exons: 6
Source: RefSeq, a predicted model, not a curated record